This 845-nucleotide long non-coding RNA is filed under the name Homo sapiens (human). RNAcentral's name for it is "non-protein coding lnc-CLN8-9:2". The record is from RNAcentral. Lineage: Eukaryota; Metazoa; Chordata; Mammalia; Primates; Hominidae.
UCCAGCAGUGGUCUACACUCGAGAAACUCGGCAGCGUUUAAAAAUAGAGCCUGUGCGAGUGCAGCGUCUCUCCAACAGUGGUCUACACUCGAGACACUCGGCAGCGUUUAAAAAUACAGGCUGUGCGAGUGCAGCGUCUCUCCAACAGUGGUCUACACUCGAGACACUCGGCAGCGUUUAAAAAUAGAGCGUGUGCGAGUGCAGCGUCUCUCCAACAGUGGUCUACACUCGAGAAACUCGGCAGCUUUUAAAAAUAGAGCGUGUGUGAGUGCAGCGUCUCUCCAACAGUGGUCUACACUCGAGACACUCGUCAGUGUUAAAAAAUAGAGCGUGUGCGAGUGCAGCGUCUCUCCCACAGUGGUCUACACUCGAGACACUCAGCAGCUUUUAAAAAUAGAGCGUGUGUGAGUGCAGCGUCUCUCCAACAGUGGUCUACACUCGAGACACUCGUCAGCGUUUAAAAAUAGAGCGUGUGCGAGUGCAGCGUCUCUCCAACAGUGGUCUACACUCGAGAAACUCGGCAGCUUUUAAAAAUAGAGCGUGUGUGAGUGCAGCGUCUCUCCAACAGUGGUCUACACUCGAGACACUCGUCAGUGUUUAAAAAUAGAGCGUGUGCGAGUGCAGCGUCUCUCCAACAGUGGUCUACACUCGAGACACUCGUCAGCGUUUAAAAAUAGAGCGUGUGUGAGUGCAGCGUCUCUCCAACAGUCUACAAAUGGCUUUGCUGCUUUUCAUUUCUUUGCAACUCUUGAAGGGUCCUGUUUCAAACUUUGAUUUCUCCAAAUCGUGGCAACAACAUGAAAUAAAAAGCUCUGCACCCUCGGAGAGAUUGGAGUGGGUGUGGA